UGUGGAAAAAACAUGGCAGAUGGGGAAGAGUCAUACCAGAAAAGUAAAAGCAGCAACAGCCACAAAUAAAAGCUAAUGUUGUUUGGGAAAAUGAUGCAAGUGGUUACUGACCAAAUUUUUGGAGAAGUAUCUAACACUACUGGAUUUCACAGGAAAAAGAAGGGAAAAAAGCAUCCUACAUGACUUCACUGCAGUAGAGAGGUGACAGCACACAUGACUUAGGAGCAGAAAUCCCUUUAAACAGCAGGAACUGUGCUUAGCUCUGCCAGAAGUUAGAAAAGAGGCUGUUUGUCUGAAGAGACGAGGGUGUGGUAAAAAUACGCUGUGCCAGUCAAGUCGACCAAAAUACAAUCUGAAUUACAAAGCAAGCUGGAAAACAAAAUUUAACAGAAGAUCUGGACCCCACCUGUGCCCUCCCAGGAGGGAUGGAAAGAAAAGGACUCCUGGGACCUGCACAUGCACAGCUCCCUGCAGGUUCAUCCAAAUGAUCGUGAAAUUCCUGAGAAAGUUAUUACUUUCAAGUCACAGUAACAGAGUAAUUUCCAGAUCUACCAAAAUCAGACUGAAAGACACGUGGAAGUACAGAAUCUCCCCAAGGAGCUCAGCCAGAGGGAUGCAUGAGUCCACAGCUUUGUGA
RNAcentral lists this long non-coding RNA (637 nucleotides) under Anas platyrhynchos (mallard). RNAcentral's name for it is "lncRNA (ENSAPLG00020006809.1)". The record is from RNAcentral. Lineage: Eukaryota; Metazoa; Chordata; Aves; Anseriformes; Anatidae.